RNAcentral lists this non-coding RNA (26 nucleotides) under Mus musculus (house mouse). The record is from RNAcentral. Lineage: Eukaryota; Metazoa; Chordata; Mammalia; Rodentia; Muridae.
UGCCAGAUGGUCCCUGUCUCGCAGGA